ACUGACCCUGCCCCCGCAGAAGAGAUCCCAGUUGGAUUCCGACCUACGGAAGGCCAGAAGGGCCAGGCUUAUCAGUGCCGCCAAAUGCGUGCCAGGCGAGGAUGCGCGGCUAAGUGGCGCCGCCUGUUUCCCUCGGCUCUUUACUGACCGAGCCUCCUCUGACUCUCCUGUGCCCAGAGCAUCUUAGCAUCCCGGCUUCUUCCCUGCUUUUCCUCUUCAGGAGUCGUCCAGCUAGACUUGAAAGGGCCGAAGGCAGCCCUGGGAGGAGGAAAGGCCAGCCUCCCGGUCCCAGUGCCCGCUGCCCAGCCUCGAUCCUCCCCCCUGCCUCUGAUGGGCUUGGGCAAGAGAUAAACCUCUCUGGGUCUGUAUCCUCUUCGGCACCACGGGAGAUAACCUGCCUAUACCUUGGAUCUGUUGUGGGGUUUAAGUAGGGAGCGCCCGUGUGUGGUUCAUGUUAGGCCCCUCCCGACUCUUGAGAAAUUGCCUCCGCCAGGAACGUGGGAGCCGAAUUUGUACUUGCCCGGAGAACUGCCGCUUCCCAUUACGUACAUCAACCAAGAAAGACUGUGUCACGAAUUCACAAGCUUUUUCCAGUAGUGGACCCGUUUAUUACUCUCCUACCCGGCCCUAUGCAUCAUGUGUUGAGAAAUUCUGUGCUUAACUAUUGCAAUAUGAUUACUGAGCACCUGCUAUUUGCUGGGAACUGUUAGACACUAUGCUUGGCAAUAGAUAAAGAUGAGUAAGAGAUCACGUUGCCCUUGAGGCACUCCUGGACCGAAGAUGACCACAGAGAACUACUACAGUGUAGUGCAGUGUUUAUAAAUGUACAGAAGAAGAAAUGUACGAAUUUUUGUUAAUUCAGUCAGCCUUUUCUGAGCAGCCAUAUCCACUAAAGUGCUGGGGACAGAGGGUUAGAAGCCUUGUCAAUAGGAAGUGAAUUCCUCCUAUCAAAUACAGUCUUCUGUUGAUUGUCUCCUUGCAAGAAGUAGUCCUGCAGAGUUCCCAUGAGACCCAGCCUGUCCUAGGGGAGGACACCGAACCCAGACCAGACCUGACAGUCCCUGGGAUUUGAGCUGGGGCUGCUGGGAAGACCUCCUUUGAAGGUAUGAUAAGCUGUGAGGCCAGUAUGGUCUUGGGGUUGCCACCACGGAGACCCAUGGAGAAAGCCAACACAUGGAGAAAGCCAACCUAGGAAGGAAGCUCUGAGAUGCAAGCCAAGCAUUGUUGGUAGCAUCAUUUCAAUCUUGACGCCCGCCAAGCCCUGGUUAACCUAGGUAAGAACAUGAGCUCUGGAGCCAGCUGCCUGGCUGACUGGCA
Molecule: long non-coding RNA, 1317 nt
Organism: Neogale vison (American mink)
Lineage: Eukaryota; Metazoa; Chordata; Mammalia; Carnivora; Mustelidae
Exons: 3
Source: RefSeq, a predicted model, not a curated record